CAAGACCAAAUAGAUUAACAUCAUCACCAUGCCAAACACUCAUGAUUAUCUAACAAGACAACAUAUUAACAUCUGAGGAGAUUAGAUGAUUGCGUAGGAUGAGGAACCCCUGCCGAGCGAGGGAUCCGUGUCCUGGAGAGUAAACGCAGAGGUGUUUUAACAGUAAUAUAUCCAGCACUCACCUCCAUCCGUGCGAUGUGUGUUUUUAAUCAGCUGUGAGAGUGUGUUUGUCAUUACUCCGGCCCAAUGAAACACAGAUGUUGCAUCUAGGGAUGAGCGCUCGUGUGAUAAAAGGAGAAACUUGAUGCUUGGAGGAGGAAUAAAGUGUGAAAGGAGGAUGUUUUCCAGAUCUG
Pimephales promelas (fathead minnow) is the source of this 353-nucleotide non-coding RNA. The record is from RefSeq and is a predicted model, not a curated record. NCBI's taxonomy places the organism in Eukaryota, Metazoa, Chordata, Actinopteri, Cypriniformes, Leuciscidae.